AAAUUAGUCUCUGAGUUUGUAAGC
RNAcentral lists this microRNA (24 nucleotides) under Lotus japonicus. RNAcentral's name for it is "lja-miR11155a-5p". The record is from miRBase by way of RNAcentral. Lineage: Eukaryota; Viridiplantae; Streptophyta; Magnoliopsida; Fabales; Fabaceae.